UACGUAGGGUGCAAGCGUUAUUCGGAAUUACUGGGCGUAAAGCGUGCGCAGGCGGUUUCUUAAGUCAGAUGUGAAAGCCCCGGGCUUAACCUGGGAACUGCGUUUGAAACUGGGAGACUGGAGUGUGGCAGAGGGGGGUGGAAUUCCACGUGUAGCAGUGAAAUGCGUAGAUAUGUGGAGGAACACCGAUGGCGAAGGCAGCUCCCUGGGUUAACACUGACGCUCAGGCACGAAAGCGUGGGGAGCAAACAGG
Molecule: ribosomal RNA, 253 nt
Filed under: uncultured bacterium
Lineage: Bacteria
Description: partial 16S ribosomal RNA
Rfam family: Bacterial small subunit ribosomal RNA
Source: RNAcentral